This 1045-nucleotide small RNA is filed under the name Histoplasma capsulatum var. duboisii H88. RNAcentral describes it as "Histoplasma capsulatum H88 hypothetical RNA". The record is from RNAcentral. Lineage: Eukaryota; Fungi; Ascomycota; Eurotiomycetes; Onygenales; Ajellomycetaceae.
GAACAAAAGUCUCUUGCACACGCUAGGAAUUUAACUGGAAAUCUCAAUAUUAAGGCGCAAUGAUACAUCCAGUCUUCACACAUAGGCUAUGUAUGGGCCAAGCUUUAGGCAUCAAGCCCCUGAACCGCUUGCCAACUGAUCUGUACCAUGCUUACCAAAUAAAUUUCUAGCGCAUGCAAGGAAGGUCUUUUGGCGUCUGGUUUGGCAUUUGGUGAAGGAGAAGAAUCUCGCUCAUGCUAAAAUGAUCGUCACGAUCUACAAAUAGAGUGAUGUGCUCGGCGCGCAUCAUUUGUCGCACAGGCCACCACCACGAACCACUCACCCUCGGAAACGCGGAGCACCUUUUUAUAUAGCCUUGUGCUUUUGAUCAAAAGGCCCAAGGGUGUAAUUCGAGAGUGAUUCAAUUAAGAGAAAGGAUUCACCUGUACGUUACCCCUCCCUGCAAUACUUCUACGUACAGCUGUUUACAGGCCAAAAAUGGACAUUCCUAUGAACCAACACGUGAAUGACCAUACGGACGUAAAGGGAAAGAUAUAUUAAAAAAAAUAAACGGCAAUUUCUUUUUUUCAUGGCUCUGUUUCAUUGGACAGACUCGGUUCAGAGCAUACUCUGUUUUCCGCUUCCCAAGGGUUUGUUUGGCAACUGGCCCAACCAAUAUUAUAACUUGGGCUUGAUAGAUCUCUGGUUUCCAAAAAGGAGCUACGCGAUGGGUUGCAUAAGAUGUGAGAACGGGUUAGGUUGUUGAAGUCUCGACUGGCGGUAUAUGGACAUAAUCAUCACCUUCUGUUCAAAGAUGAUGGUUUGCGAGCAUACUGGCGCGAGGUUGUGUAUGGCUCGCUUCGACCCUGGCGGAGCAUAGUUUUCUUUUAUCAGCACCUCUAUUCUGAGUUUCUCUGAUGUCCAGUAACUUACACUAGCUCUUCAAGCUAGCAGCGGAUAGCUAGAGAGGAGAUCUACGUGCCAUACAUUGCAUGCAUUGUGCAUAUGAGCCCACAAAACUGUAUCUGAGAACAAACUCUUCACCUUUCAAUUUCACUUGAUGUCC